CGUAUGUGCUGAGCAAUCUAAUGAAAUACAUCGAGAGAGCAGACGACGCAUAAUGAGGUCCCUCUCCACCGUCUCUCCACAACGCCUUGAUAACGUCACGCUCAACAGCGCCAAUGAGAGCGCUUCUUCCCGCACAGCUGAUCGGUGGGGCCGCGGGGCAUCUGGAUGCGAGGCGGCCAGCAGACACCAAGCGUAAUGUCGGAAUCGUCGUAAUACGAAAGUGACGUCGCGUCGCUUCCAAGCGAUUCUGGGGAUUACAGCGUUGAAGAAAUUGUGUUAGAUUACGACCCUUACUCCACAGACCAUCUGCCACUUGACCCUGCCGCAAGUGAGAGUGCAGGCAGUGAAAACGAACCGUCCGGUGGCGACGACACUUUCAGAUGCCUCUGCACUCGCUGUACUCCAGUGGAACCUGACGAACACAGGGUGUCGGUUGCCUCGGCAAUUGCAGGGAUAGUUGUAUCGCCGAUCACCUGCUCCUCAAUGGCGUUUGUCUGCGGAGGGAGCUCGCUGGUUGACGCACCCAUCUUUUGUCGUGAUGACCGCCGCGUAUUUUUGAGCGACUUGCAGUAGGCGCCUCCGCUUCACUGCGUAUUGUUUCUUCACAAGCUGGAUUUAUGGGUACCUUGGCAUAAGAAACCGAAGGCGGAUACCAGGAUGUCCUGUGCGCAGGAUCAGGACGCUGUACCCAUCAAUUUCAUAUAGUGGAUCAUACGAGCCACAUAAGUGUCAAGUGGGUCACUGUAUGCAGACCAGGCAUAUCCAUUGUAGGACUUAUCGCUAUUGUCAUUGUUGUUUUUGUAUGUUCAUAAAAGCUAGUUUCCUAUUGAGAAGACGUAACUGUGUACACUAUCAAAACAUUAUCGAUGGUUCCUGCUUUUCAUAACCAUAUGUGGUGAAGAAAUGUUGCAUUGUGAAGUCACAAAUUAGUGAGCCGUUAUGCUGGUCAUAGUGUUAGUCAUAUGUGCAUGCACUGACCGUUUCGAAAGUUUUAACCCUUUGUAACAGUUCAAGAAGCAUGUCUCACAAGCAGUGGAUACUUGUAGUCAGAUAUUGCAAGUACAGCGGAAUGUGUAAAUAAUUUUCAUUGCAAAUCAUUCUGGAGUACAAACCAAGGUUAUCACACGACGAGGACAAGCAGUGGUACUUGUGUAAUGCAUAUUUUGAAUACCACCUUUCAGCUUCACCAUGGAGAGGUUUCUUUUGUACCACGUUUUGCACCUAUGUCGGGAAAAAAAAAAAGAAACUGGUGCGUUUUGCCCUGAGCAUGGAUUUACGCUUCAUUUCUAAAUGGAGGAUAGAGGUUAGUGCCAAUGUGUGUAUUACCACAGUUUUAUCUCCUCCUGUGUACAUGGAAGCUUUGUGAACAUGAUACAAAUAUUAAAUGUGUCAAACAAAAGCUGAUUACAUUAUGCCAGUAGAUUUUAUUUCCCUCCUCCGUGCUAUCUUUCCAGUUGCUGGGCGGAGAGCUGGCAUUUAGGUUCAUGUUGACAGGGUGGUAACAGGGUCUUUCCUUCUAUACAAUAUACGAGCAGUGCAGAUGUGAAGCUUGAUGUGCUGAAACAAGAAAAAACUUACUAUCAUGCACAUAUCAAAGCCCAAUACCACCAUAUUCUUGAACCCUUGGAAUGUCCUCUGUGCACUGUAACUGGAAUUGUACUAAAAGUCACAGGUGUGCAUAUAUAGUUCAUUAGACGCCGUUCAUAGCCAGUUACUAAAAUUGCAUUUUAAAAAAGUUCAUCAGAAUCACAAACACAAUUCAGAAAAGUGUUUGCAGCUGGACCAAAAACAAUAAUGUGCAUAUUGGAGGGUUCAUAACGCAGUGUUUGUCUCUGCAUAAAACAUGUGGUGGCCCUGGAAAGGGUCUGUUUUUUACUUUAGUUUCUCUGGCUCAUUCAGUGUGUGACGCAGGGGGAAGCCUCACUACUAGAACCUAAAAAUAAAAAUUCGCUAUAUAACAACAUCAAGCCUUCACAGUAUGUGAGCAAUAUAUAUCACUCGUAGAGGCUGAUACUCCGCAUGAGCUGCCGGUUUCACAACAUGAACGUUCACUCUGACUCAGAAUGUACUCACUGUACUCAGACUCACUGUAGAACACAGAUAUUAA
Long non-coding RNA from Ornithodoros turicata, 2107 nucleotides. RefSeq lists it as uncharacterized. The transcript has 3 exons. The record is from RefSeq and is a predicted model, not a curated record. NCBI's taxonomy places the organism in Eukaryota, Metazoa, Arthropoda, Arachnida, Ixodida, Argasidae.